GCUCGCGGGCUAAAUAGCUAGAUUAGCUAGCUAGCGUUAGACUGCUUUCUCCACAGCGGAAUAAACUCUCUGUAUACACAGAGAAUUUGUCCUGCUGUGAAGAAAGCAGAAGUGAGAUUGUUACGACUGCAUCUAGUGGGGUCGUAACAAGUGGGGGCUCGUCCUCUGUUUUUCCUCUGGCUCUGUUUACCUGUUCCUUUUAGGGUUUUUUGUGUGCCCCCUCUCUCUGGUGUUGUUGUUUGUUUGGUUCUGGCUGGUGUUUUUUUUUUUUCUUUGUGGGUGGGGUGUGUUUAUACUGACUAUUGUGUGCUAUUUCUGCCAUGUUUGAUUUGUCUGCUUUUUCUAUUUGUCCGUCUUUUGACGCUCAGUUUGAGCGUUGUCGAAAGAAAGACUAGAUCUUUUGUUGGUAGCUGCUUUGUAUAACGCGGUUGUACCUCACUCUGCUAAUAAGAGGGAGAUAAAUGGAUUUGUAGAGUCUUCCCUUGUUGUGGCUGGAGUUCUGCCAGAAUGGGAGUUGUCGCUGGGUGUUACUGUUGGUUCAGCUCAUGGUGUGGACAAGGCAGAAGUUUUCUCCCAAGGUAUCUCCCAGGGUUGACCCCAUACUAGAAUUGAAAUUGAAGAAGUUGGAGCUGGAAAUUAAAAAAAACAGGAACAACAGGCUGAGCUGCUACGUCUUCGGGCUCUACAGGUAGAGGCAGAAAGGGAGGUGACACUUAAAAUGGAUGAGUUUGGGCUUGGGAAAACCCAUACCUCUUCCUCGGAAAGAUGUCUCUCCAGCACCAGUAAGCCCUGUACCUUCGGGGACACCAGUACCCAGUUCCCCUCGGGUUUCUGCUACCCCAGCUUCCUCUGCCUCUGCCUCUGGACGUUUUGAUAUUAGUCGACAGAUUGCCUUGGUUCCUACUUUUAGGGAACAUGAAAUUGAUGCAUAUUUCCCAGUGUUUGAGCGCAUAGCAUUGACUUUAGAUUGGCCCAAGGAACUAUGGUCUCUCUUAGUGCAGUAUAGGUUAGUUGGUAAGGUCCAAGAGGUGUAUUCCUCCCUAACACUUGAGCAGAGCCUAGGUUAUGACAUUGUGAAAGCAACUGUUCUCCAAGCAGAUGAACUAGUGCUGGAGGCAUACAGACAAAAUUUCAGAUGCUUAAAGAAAAACCCCAGCCAGACAUUUGUGGAAUUUGCCAGGGAAAAGACUGUUUUGUUAGAGAAGUGGUGUGCUGCUUGUAACAUUACCAUAAUUGAUCAAUUUAAAGAGCUCAUACUGGUUGAAGAAUUCAAGAGUUGUCUUCCUGAGAACAUUUGAAACUCCCAGUCAUGCAACUCGCAAAAGGACUCCUGUGAGCUCCCGAAACCUGACGCCUCUGUUUCGGCUGUUUCUGUGGAAACCCGUGAGUGCUUCUACUGCCAUGAGCGUGGACACAUAGCUAAUUGUCCUGCUUAAGUGCAAGAAUGCCUGCUCUCAAAAACAAAUGAUGAAGACAAAUAGCCCAUCACAAGUUUACGGGAUACGGAUGCUGCUGUGUCUCUUAUGUUGGAUACUGUGUCGCCUUUUUAAACUCAGACGUUUUGUGGUAGUGACAGAGCCUAUAGAUCGAGUUGUGUUAAUGUCUACACAAAGGGCAGCCCAAUCCCUUACGCACUGCUUUGAGUUGGCUGAAGGAAAAAGGCACCAACGCUCAGCAACAGCACUACUCCAUUCAAGAUGGUGUG
Non-coding RNA from Electrophorus electricus (electric eel), 1705 nucleotides. The record is from RefSeq and is a predicted model, not a curated record. NCBI's taxonomy places the organism in Eukaryota, Metazoa, Chordata, Actinopteri, Gymnotiformes, Gymnotidae.